CAUCUCUCUGCCUCUCUCUGCCUUCAGAUCAAAGUGUAUGUGGGGGUACUGUUCUAUUCCUGUGAUAUAAUAAAAACCUGGAAACAUUGUACAUGUGGGUACUGUACUGAAAUUGAGACAGUGUUAAAUCAAAAUACCAAGUCUCUAUUGCACUAACUAAUAUCAGGAUUAUGACAUUUCCAGUGAAAAUGCAAUUUAUCUGAUUAAAAAGACAAAAAUAAAAGUAGAAAUCACUACAUGGGCCCAGCAUUUCUGUUAAAAGGGCUAGACCAAAUAUCUCAAAUUAUGCCAUUUGUUAUACUCUGGGUUGCCUGCGUUUGAAAAUGGUAUGCCAUAAUAGUGGAAAUGUUAUUACCCAGGCUGACAUGCUCUCUGAAAAGCCACAUAGGCCCAGAAAAUCACUUUGCCAAAUUACCAACUUUGAAAUGGAUAUCUAAAAUUUUUGUCCCCGUGACUUCCCCCACAAAAAAAAAAAAUCUGGUACAUGGGGGUACUGUUCUAUUCAG
Molecule: non-coding RNA, 506 nt
Organism: Pelobates cultripes (western spadefoot toad)
Lineage: Eukaryota; Metazoa; Chordata; Amphibia; Anura; Pelobatidae
Source: the annotation of a GenBank genome assembly